This 924-nucleotide long non-coding RNA is filed under the name Marmota monax (woodchuck). The record is from RNAcentral. Lineage: Eukaryota; Metazoa; Chordata; Mammalia; Rodentia; Sciuridae.
CUUGAAUCAGUGUAAGUGCACUGGGAAGACAAGAGGACCCACAUCCUUAGCCCUACCUUUAAGGGGAUGACAGUUAAUUCAGGGUUUUAUAGAAAGGGGAACGAAGGCCAGACAUGGUGGCUCAUGCCUAUAAUCCCAAUGAUUCAAUAGACUAAGGCAAGAGGAUCACAAGUUCUAGGCCAGCCUGGGCAAAUGUUGUAAGACUCUGUCUCAAAAAAUAAAAAGUGCUGGGGGUGUAGCUCAGUGGUAUGGCACCCUACUAACAAAAAAAGAAAAAAAAGGGCAAGAAAGUGGGGUUUGUAUAGCUAGAGGGUUUGCACAUCUGACAAAGAAGGUUCGUCUUAUUACCAGAGCCCUAGGAGAGAUACCUGACUCCAGGAAUUCCAAGAUCCAAAAACCAAACAGAAAAGGUAAUGAUAAAAAAAAAAAAAAGAAAGAAAGAAAGAAAGAAACUUUAAUCAAAUGACCAUAUUGGGAAGGCAGAGUCACAUGCUUCCUGAUGCUCACAUGAACUUUAGGUUUAAACAGAGGAAGAAUUGGGCAAGGGCAAGAGUUAUACAUAUUCAAGCAGCCUUAGUUAAACUAUGGUCUGGUUAUUUUAUUUCUGGUUCUAUGAGGUGGCUCCGACUAAGUCCUUGUCACUUGAGGAAGCCAUCUCCAUUUGCUGCUCAGGAUAUUUAUCUAUUAAGUGAUCCUGGAAGGAAGCAAUUUGGUGCCCAUGAGACAAUUGUUCCUGCUUAGGGGAGGGCAGUUACAUUAUAGGGUGACUUGCCUGUAGGGAUCUACUUUACCUGGAAAGUGUAGGGAAAUGACUGGAAUCUUCUAGGCACUCCUCUAGGGUCCUAAAAGAGGGUAUCCCCACAAAUCUUACCUCAGUCUUGAAGGGGGAUGAGAUAGAUUAGGUAAAUUUAGGGCUAUUACUAG